GAAUGAAAUGAUGGUUAAUAAGAUUAUCUAUCAGUUUGAUUUGUCAUCAAAAUGGCAAAAUAAGUAUUAGUUAUGUUUGAUCGUUC
Molecule: small nucleolar RNA, 86 nt
Organism: Lactuca sativa (garden lettuce)
Lineage: Eukaryota; Viridiplantae; Streptophyta; Magnoliopsida; Asterales; Asteraceae
Product: small nucleolar RNA Z102/R77
Source: RefSeq, a predicted model, not a curated record